This 280-nucleotide long non-coding RNA is filed under the name Panax ginseng (ginseng). RNAcentral describes it as "long non-coding RNA (PGIN_LNC015790)". The record is from RNAcentral. Lineage: Eukaryota; Viridiplantae; Streptophyta; Magnoliopsida; Apiales; Araliaceae.
UGCGUGAGGACUUCCCUGGAAUCGUGUAAGUCUGGGGAGGUGGUUGGUGCUCUUCUUCAUCGGAAUCACUUGGAGGAAAGCGAGGUAAUGGUCCGGGUUGUUGAUAUGGAAAGUGUGCCGCCGGGUUGAAGCUUUGGAGUUUUGUAUUGAGUGAGGCGAAAGAUGCGUUCAUAGCAUCAAACAUGUGAUCUUGUCGCAUCGCCAAUCGCCGCAUUUCCCGGCGUGCUGCUCUAUUGUGCACAUUCAUCUGAUUUUGGAACUCAAGGAACCGAGGACUGGA